GACGGAGGGGGCUAGCGUUGUUCGGAAUUACUGGGCGUAAAGCGUGCGUAGGCGGCUUUUCAAGUUGGGUGUGAAAGCCCGGGGCUUAACCCCGGAAAUGCGCCCAAGACUGUUUGGCUAGAGACCCGGAGAGGUGAGUGGAACUCCCAGUGUAGAGGUGAAAUUCGUAGAUAUUGGGAAGAACACCAGUGGCGAAGGCGGCUCACUGGACGGGUACUGACGCUGAGGCACGAAAGCGUGGGGAGCAAACAGG
This 253-nucleotide ribosomal RNA is filed under the name uncultured bacterium. RNAcentral's name for it is "partial 16S ribosomal RNA". It matches the Rfam family "Bacterial small subunit ribosomal RNA", at positions 524 to 776 of the family's 1533-position model. The record is from RNAcentral.